UGGGAUGUGCCAAACCGCGCAAGUGAAUGUUUCUCUCUUUCAAGAGCUGUGAUACCAUUGGAGCUAGCUCAAAUCCCAGUAACAUGUGAUAGCCAACGUACAGAACAGGUCCUUCCGAAGGUAAACCUUCUAGGCUCCUUACAACUUUACCGUUUGCUAGAGUUGAUAGCAUUACAGGAGAAGUAGCAUCUAUUAGCAAUCUGCACCGUUAGAAAAUGAUCAUUUAGUAUAAGUUAUAACCUUUUACUUGAUAGACUGAUUUGUUUUAUUAAGGAUUUUUACUUGUGGUCGUCUAUUUGUUGUUUUAACUCAAAUGUGGUAGGCAUGAUGUAAUCUGACAGGUGGUCAUGAGACUUCCCACGGCGAUAAAAACAUGUGCACUUGAUGAUAGUAACCAGAUCUACACCCUCCUCCUAACAUAAGAUAGUUGAAGUGUAGUUAGUAUCAGUUUAUAUAUCUUCUGUGUUGGAUAAAGAGAGAUCAC
RNAcentral lists this long non-coding RNA (484 nucleotides) under Brassica napus (rape). RNAcentral's name for it is "long non-coding RNA (BNAP_LNC005551)". Lineage: Eukaryota; Viridiplantae; Streptophyta; Magnoliopsida; Brassicales; Brassicaceae. The record is from RNAcentral.